Molecule: non-coding RNA, 453 nt
Organism: Pelobates cultripes (western spadefoot toad)
Lineage: Eukaryota; Metazoa; Chordata; Amphibia; Anura; Pelobatidae
Source: the annotation of a GenBank genome assembly
CAACCAUACAAGCACACAGACAUAAUUUUUCAGGCACACAGUCACAAAGAUAUACAGACACACAGUCAUAAAAGGCACACAAACAAACACAGUCAUACAAUCUACACAGACAUACAUUCAUACAGACACAGGCACUCACAGAAAUACAUACACAGACAUAAAGAAACAGAGAUAGGCAUACAGAGACAUACCUACACAGACAAACAAAGAACCCUGCACACUGACACCGUGCAAAUGCUCCGGCCAUCAACAGAGGUGGAUGCUCCAUGUCAGGCAGACAUUGCUGGAUCCACCAGUAAAGUCUUCAAAAGGAAUAAACGCAGGCAACACUCCAACAGUAAGGAUGGUAUAUUUAUUGGUAGGUGAACCACCCCAUAGAAAGUGUGAUGUUUCAGCUCAUGCAAUAAGGCUCUGCUGAGCCGAAACGACGCACUUUCUUUGGGGUGGUUCACC